UAGGGAAUCUUCCACAAUGGACGCAAGUCUGAUGGAGCAACGCCGCGUGAGUGAAGAAGGGUUUCGGCUCGUAAAGCUCUGUUGUUAAAGAAGAACGUGGGUAAGAGUAACUGUUUACCCAGUAACGGUAUUUAACCAGAAAGCCACGGCUAACUACGUACCAG
Molecule: ribosomal RNA, 164 nt
Filed under: uncultured bacterium
Lineage: Bacteria
Description: partial 16S ribosomal RNA
Rfam family: Bacterial small subunit ribosomal RNA
Source: RNAcentral